GACGAACGCUGGCGGCGUGCUUAACACAUGCAAGUCGAGCGGUAAGGCCUUUCGGGGUACACGAGCGGCGAACGGGUGAGUAACACGUGGGUGAUCUGCCCUGCACUUCGGGAUAAGCCUGGGAAACUGGGUCUAAUACCGGAUAUGACCUCCUAUCGCAUGGUGGGUGGUGGAAAGAUUUAUCGGUGCAGGAUGGGCCCGCGGCCUAUCAGCUUGUUGGUGGGGUAAUGGCCUACCAAGGCGACGACGGGUAGCCGACCUGAGAGGGUGACCGGCCACACUGGGACUGAGACACGGCCCAGACUCCUACGGGAGGCAGCAGUGGGGAAUAUUGCACAAUGGGCGAAAGCCUGAUGCAGCGACGCCGCGUGAGGGAUGACGGCCUUCGGGUUGUAAACCUCUUUCAGCAGGGACGAAGCGCAAGUGACGGUACCUGCAGAAGAAGCCCCGGCUAACUACGUG
RNAcentral lists this ribosomal RNA (462 nucleotides) under uncultured bacterium. Its description in RNAcentral is "partial 16S ribosomal RNA". It matches the Rfam family "Bacterial small subunit ribosomal RNA", at positions 28 to 507 of the family's 1533-position model. The record is from RNAcentral.